GGGGGUGUAGCUGAGUGGUAGAGUACUUGCCUAUCAUGCAUGAGGCCAGGGUUUGAUCCCCAGCACCACAU
RNAcentral lists this transfer RNA (71 nucleotides) under Heterocephalus glaber (naked mole-rat). It matches the Rfam family "tRNA". From Rfam's summary of the family: Transfer RNA (tRNA) molecules are approximately 80 nucleotides in length. Their secondary structure includes four short double-helical elements and three loops (D, anti-codon, and T loops). Lineage: Eukaryota; Metazoa; Chordata; Mammalia; Rodentia; Bathyergidae. The record is from Rfam by way of RNAcentral.